UGGGGAAUAUUGCACAAUGGAGGGAACUCUGAUGCAGCGACGCCGCGUGAGUGAUGAAGGAAUUCGUUUCGUAAAACUCUGUUCUAUGGGAAGAAAAGGACUGUACCAUAGGAGAAAGCUCCGGCUAAAUACGUGCCAGCAGCCGCGAUAAUACGUAUGGAGCGAGCGUUGUCCGGAAUUAUUGGGCGUAAAGGGUGCGCAGGCGGCUUUACAAGUUGGAUGUGAAAUAUUGUGGCUCAACCACAAACGUGCAUCCAAAACUGCAAAGCUUGAGUUAAGGAGAGGUAAGUGGAAUUCCUGGUGUAGCGGUGGAAUGCGUAGAUAUCAGGAGGAAUACCGGUGGCGAAGGCGACUUACUGGACUUAAACUGACGCUCAGGCACGAAAGCGUGGGGAGCAAACAGG
RNAcentral lists this ribosomal RNA (404 nucleotides) under Fusobacteriota bacterium. RNAcentral's name for it is "Fusobacteria bacterium partial 16S ribosomal RNA". It matches the Rfam family "Bacterial small subunit ribosomal RNA", at positions 355 to 776 of the family's 1533-position model. Lineage: Bacteria; Fusobacteriati; Fusobacteriota. The record is from RNAcentral.